GACGAACGCUGGCGGCGUGCUUAACACAUGCCAGUCGAACGGAAAGGCCCUGCUUUUGUGGGGUGCUCGAGUGGCGAACGGGUGAGUAACACGUGAGUAACCUGCCCUUGACUUUGGGAUAACUUCAGGAAACUGGGGCUAAUACCGGAUAGGAGCUCCUGCUGCAUGGUGGGGGUUGGAAAGUUUCGGCGGUUGGGGAUGGACUCGCGGCUUAUCAGCUUGUUGGUGGGGUAGUGGCUUACCAAGGCUUUGACGGGUAGCCGGCCUGAGAGGGUGACCGGCCACAUUGGGACUGAGAUACGGCCCAGACUCCUACGGGAGGCAGCAGUGGGGAAUAUUGCACAAUGGGCGGAAGCCUGAUGCAGCAACGCCGCGUGCGGGAAGACGGCCUUCGGGGUGGAAACCGCUUUCGCCUGUGACGAAGCGUGAGGGACGGUAAUGGGUAAAGAAGCACCGGCUAACUACGU
This 467-nucleotide ribosomal RNA is filed under the name uncultured bacterium. RNAcentral's name for it is "partial 16S ribosomal RNA". It matches the Rfam family "Bacterial small subunit ribosomal RNA", at positions 28 to 506 of the family's 1533-position model. The record is from RNAcentral.